UACGGAGGGUGCAAGCGUUGUUCGGAAUCAUUGGGCGUAAAGCGCGUGUAGGCGGCUUGGUAAGGCGGGUGUGAAAGCCCGGGGCUUAACCCCGGAACUGCAUUCGAAACUGCCUCGCUAGAGUCCCGGAGGGGAAGGCGGAAUUCACGGUGUAGAGGUGAAAUUCGUAGAUAUCGGGAGGAACAGCCGUAGCGAAGGCGGCCUUCUGGACGGUGACUGACGCUGAGACGCGAAAGCGUGGGGAGCAAACAGG
This 253-nucleotide ribosomal RNA is filed under the name uncultured bacterium. RNAcentral's name for it is "partial 16S ribosomal RNA". It matches the Rfam family "Bacterial small subunit ribosomal RNA", at positions 524 to 776 of the family's 1533-position model. The record is from RNAcentral.